This 468-nucleotide ribosomal RNA is filed under the name uncultured bacterium. RNAcentral describes it as "partial 16S ribosomal RNA". It matches the Rfam family "Bacterial small subunit ribosomal RNA", at positions 28 to 507 of the family's 1533-position model. The record is from RNAcentral.
GACGAACGCUGGCGGCGUGCUUAACACAUGCAAGUCGAACGGAAAGGCCCUGCUUUUGUGGGGUGCUCGAGUGGCGAACGGGUGAGUAACACGUGAGUAACCUGCCCUUGACUUUGGGAUAACUUCAGGAAACUGGGGCUAAUACCGGAUAGGAGCUCCUGCUGCAUGGUGGGGGUUGGAAAGUUUCGGCGGUUGGGGAUGGACUCGCGGCUUAUCAGCUUGUUGGUGGGGUAGUGGCUUACCAAGGCUUUGACGGGUAGCCGGCCUGAGAGGGUGACCGGCCACAUUGGGACUGCGAUACGGCCCAGACUCCUACGGGAGGCAGCAGUGGGGAAUAUUGCACAAUGGGCGGAAGCCUGAUGCAGCAACGCCGCGUGCGGGAUGACGGCCUUCGGGUUGUAAACCGCUUUCGCCUGUGACGAAGCGUGAGUGACGGUAAUGGGUACAGAAGCACCGGCUAACUACGUG